This is a long non-coding RNA of Cygnus atratus (black swan), 523 nucleotides long. RefSeq lists it as uncharacterized. Lineage: Eukaryota; Metazoa; Chordata; Aves; Anseriformes; Anatidae. The record is from RefSeq and is a predicted model, not a curated record. The transcript is spliced from 3 exons.
CAAUUAAAAUUAGACAACUGAAUGACCACACGAACUGAAAACACUGAAGAAAAUGGAAUGACUAGACCAGCAAGUUUUUCAUUGGCCACAGCACAGAAACCACUAUCCAUGUUCAAUUGUCAGAAUCAUCACUUUGCUCUCAGGAAUUCCUGCUCUCAAGGGACUGAGACACUGCAAUCGCUAUUUACUGUAACGAGAGGAAGAUGCGUAGCGUGGGAAGAUUUGCCAUACGAUGGGAACUGUGAAUCAAGGUUAAUUACCUAUGAGUGAUGAAAAUACUGUUGGAAAAAUACAUGCUGAUGAGCAGAAGGCACUGUUCUGUAUGCUUCUGCGCCUGACAGGAAAGCUGCAUGGAAGUCACACUACUCAGCUUCAGUCUGCUCCCACUGAUCCUACAAAGUGGAGCUGUGCUGGAACGGGACCCCAGGUGACUGUGUCACACCUGGCACUUAAGACAUUAUUAUGUUUAUAGCGAGCAGGUCUCUAAUGGCGUGGAAGCCUCCCAGUAUUUUGAAAGCCACAG